UACGUAGGUGGUUCCGUGUGUCGGGUGUGAAAUCCCACAGCUCACCUGUGGAACUGCAUCCGAAACUGCGGGGCUUGAGUGCAGGAGGGGAGAGCGGAAUUCUUGGUGUAGCGGUGAAAUGCGUUGAUAUCAAGAGGAACACCGGUGGCGAAGGCGGCUCUCUGGAAUGUUACUGACACUGAGGUACGAAAGCUGGGGGAGCGAACA
This 207-nucleotide ribosomal RNA is filed under the name uncultured bacterium. RNAcentral's name for it is "partial 16S ribosomal RNA". It matches the Rfam family "Bacterial small subunit ribosomal RNA", at positions 568 to 774 of the family's 1533-position model. The record is from RNAcentral.